CAUUCUUCAGUCUCUUCAUCAUUUUUCUUUUUCUCGAGUCUUGCCUUAGGUAUGGGCGUCCCCUCAGCGAGUAUAGUGUCCCCACGGGAUUCAUUAUAACAUGGAAUACAAAAGUAGUGACGAGUGUCACCAGCUCCUACGGUGUAAUACAUAGCAUUUCUCUUGAUGCGGGCACCACAAGGGGUACAAUAUAUAGGUGGUGGCUCAAAGAUCGUGGCUGCUAUGGCCCCAAACGCCGCUGUGGAUAUACAAACUGUCGCUGCAGCCGAUUUAGUCACCCAGCAGCUAUGACACUGAUAUCUACUACUUCGGUUGUUCAAUAGAUUCAAACGGUAGAGAGAAGGAUACAGAGUGUGUGUUAUCAUUACUUAACUGGUUCUUUUGAUCUCAUCAGAUUCUCUGCGUCUUGUUUUCGCGACAAGGUUAACCUAGUGGUUCUUGUUGAACACUCUAUCUUGUUUAGACACUUGUCAAUAUCUGGUGGCUUGGAAUUUAGAAACUUUUCAGACUUCCACGUAUGCCAGAAUCUUAUGCUUACAUGACACAAUCACACACAAUUUAAAACAGUAGUAAUUAACCAUAAGACUAAUUCAAGAACCAAAUAACUAUGAUUGCAACUUACAAAUGUGAUUACAGUUUCCUCAAAACAGAAAAGACAAAAAAGUGGAAGAGAAUCAAAAGACAAACACUCUAUCUCUAUCUUACUUUUCUUGCAAGAAACAAGUUAACGUAACUGUAUAUGUUACACUAUUGCCAUUCCCAAAUCAGAAAUGGCAAUUUUACAAGAAUACAAUAUAAAUUACUAUAAAUAGAAACAAGUGAGGGACGUGUGUGUGCGUGUGUAUAGUAUAUAAUCAUAAGAUCACCCAACCAAACCACAUCAAAUCUACUGACCUUGAGACUCGAGACGCUCUCAUCUUUGAAGAAGACUCGACUUUGCUCUUCUUCUUCUUCUUCUGCUUCUUCUGAAAAUCAAGUCUCACUCUGGGCACAUGUUAAAUACAAACCUAAGCUAAAUGCAUCAUUAGUCUCUAACUGCCUUGUCUUAAUCUUCUUCUUCAAUAAGAUAACGAUCAAGUUGUUGGAGCUCUCAGUGAAAGGGGCAACAUAUCUUGUUACCUUUGAGAGAAAGGAACUUUGAUUUGAUCUUUCCAAAUGUACAAGUUUUGAUUACCCUGAUCCUCCAGCGACUUCCGCAGCUCUCUGUCUCAUCAUUUCCAUCACAGCUGCUCUUCGCCUUGAAUCUGAUUGCUGCUGUAAUCUUCUCAGAUGCUCCUUCAGGUCACUGAAUGAAAGAGAGAGAGAGAGAGAGAAUAUCACAACCAUCAUCAACACAAAAUUCAAAUGAACCAAAGUGGUUUGAUGUAUUUCAUGGAUCAUCAUAAAGUCGUUUACCUGCAACGAGGUACAUGGCACUGAGAUUCCUUGCAGGCCCGAGCGUGGAGUUGCAGAAGAUACCACAUUUUCUUGCAUAGAACACAGCCUCCCGAAGCACGCACUUUGCACUGUAUACCAUGUCGGAAUAGUCCCUUCACUUUCCGGCAAUUUGGAUACUGACAAUUUGCAGAACGACAUUGUGAUGCAUGUACCAGAAGUUCCAGCAUUUUCCUCAGCUGCAAAUUCAAAAAAGAAGAGAACAUAAAACAAAGAAUGUAACCAAGAGAGAAGCAACACCAGCUCUCAAAAGAAACAGUAUUAAUACCUGCAAGACUCGCAACUGCCUUGCUUCUUUGUUCUGAGCAUUUUGAUCAGCUAGGGAUGGAUGAUUAGUCAACUUGUGAGGAUGAUUAACUCCACCAUCUCUACUGUAACAAGAGUUGCACACAUCGUAGUCUGGACAUACUUCACAGCGCCAGCCUUGACCAGUUUCAAUGUCGAGGUGACACGCAUUGCAGGUCGUGACAAACGCAGGAGCAGUUGGGUUAUGCAGAUGAUAAAGGACCAUCAUUGAUGAAUGUUUUGCCCGCCUCAACGUGUCGUACUGAUAAUGGUUCCCUUGACAAAGACUCAGAAACGCUUGCCUUGUGUCGAAAAACUCGCUUUCUAGUAUCUCAUCUUUGUCCCUUGUAUCUGCAGGAAUAUCUGUAAUCUCAACCUGCAAAUACAAUCCCACUAAGAUUCAUGAAACUGAUCACAGACAAAAGGUUAAGGACGCUAUCCUCAAUAAGCAAAUGCAACUCACAGGGUACAACGCAUGCUUAUCCCUGAAAUUAGCAGGAUGCCUUUCCCUGUCUUCACGCCGCUGUUCAGCUUCAUAACACCUGAAAGGGAAUCAGUAAGAUUCUUAUGUGCAAUCAUGGUUCUAAAACUUGUUCUAGGCAGUAACUUAAUCCUACCCGAAACGAUUUCUUCUUUAAAAUCCAAUUUAUAUGACUCAACUCGGUUUAAAUCGGUUAAAUAAGUCUAAAUCUAAUAAAUUAAGCAAUAAUGUUAGUACUCUAAUUUCUUUUGUUUUCUAUAUCUAAUCUGAUAAUUCAUUAUUCAUCAAAAUAAUUUUCUAGGCCUAGUUGAUAUCCUCUACAAAGCGCCUAGUUAAGGCCUAGCGAUUUCUUAACAUUGUGUGCAAUUCAACAAUAAAAGUAAAGAGCAGAAGAGAAAGGGAAUAGUUCUUACUUAUCACAAAUCUGAAAGUAUUUGCACUGACUGCAGAGCCAACGAUUUCCAGAUACCAUCAACAUACAGCAAUGUGUGCAAGAAGGUUGCAGGUGGACCAUGAUAAAGUCCUCCUUCAUAGGGUGAAUGGUCUCACCAAGCUGGGAACAAAGGUGAAUAUAAUAUUACCAAAACAAUAACAAAAAGAUAGUAAAACGCAUAGAAAGUAAAGAUUACUUUAUGCAUUAGCAGCAGAUCCUUGGAUGCAUUCCCAGAUAAAUCAGUCUGCCCAGAAGCUUUUAGAGCCCUUUUUGUAAUUGUUUUCUUUAGCAUUCCUUUCUUAUUCCCCUUUCUGCCAUCUUCUUCUUGACUCAUUUGGUAUAUAAGAUCCUCUGCUGCACCUGGCCAGUAGUCACCAUCGAAAUACGGGAGCCUAGCUGCAGUAACCUUAGCUCUACAUUCACCGGUUUGCAUAAAGAAAUGGUCAUAUAGAUUUAUAGUUUCUGCAACAAUGCCUUCCUUUGAAGCUUUUUUCAACAUUGCUAAGUACCUGCAAUGAACAACAUGAGCGUUUGGAUUAUGUAAAUGACUUUUUUCAUAGAAAAACUUUAUGUUUAUUCCAAAAAAGGUAACCGAACUAACCACUCUCGUAGUUUAUCAGAUUUUGGCGUCUUCUGUAUUUCUGGAUGGCAAUAUAAGAUAUAGUCCUCGCCCUUGAGAGGCGGACAAGCCCAUAUGUAGCAGCUCGUGAAACCACGCAACUUGCAGUAUUCUAGGUAACCGAUCUAAACACAUGAUCAAAUCAUACCCUUAAUCCUUCAAAAAAGAACACGGAUAUUAGCUAAUGACUAAUGUUUAAGAAGACCAGGACUUACCAGGAUUUCGUGGUAAACGAAAGUGCGCAGGGCCUCUCCGUAAUAAGAUCUAACCUCGGGUCUAAAGUACUUUACAGAAUCCAAAUAAGAGAGAUAAACUCGGCGUUGAUUAGGAAAUGCGCAUUCAGAACCAAACUCUUGGACGUACAUCCCAAAUAAGCAAACUUCUACACCUUCAAUCUUUUGGAACAACAGAACCACCUGGCAAAAUAAAAUGAUGUGUGAGAAUGGAUACUUCAAGAAAGAAAUGCAUAAAUUCACGAUGAGCCUUGAUCAUUCUUUACCUUGGACUUGUAUGCAAACUCUGUUGGGUAACUAUCUUCCCGAAAAAUUUCAAGAAACCGAGGUUUGACUUCCAGCUUCUUGUCAACAGAUGAAACAACUCUAAUCACAAGGGACUCGGCAGUAGGCACCUCAUCAAAACUUUUUCCUUGAGCCCUGGCUCUCUCUGUUCUUUCCUGCUUCAGCUUCUUAAACAGCCGCUGCUCAAUAUGGUCACUGAGAAUUGUUCUCGGAAGGUCUUUCGCUCCAAGAACAGCACUCUGAGGUAAAGGCUUCCUCUUACUUUGUUCCACUUCUGCUAUAUAGCAAUAAGGGCAGGUAUACUCAGCUUGCCCUCCGUCAUUCCUUCUCCCAUUAAACAAAGCACAGAUCUGAUGCUGCCAUGCCUCACAUUUAUCACAUUGGACCCACUGCAAAGGUAGAAACAGAUUACAGAAUGUACUGAAAAUCAGGAGACAAACACAAAAAGAGUGGAUAGUCGUUUACCCAUUCUUCGGUCUCUUCAUCAUUUUUCUUUUUCUCGAGUCUUGCCUUAGGUAUAGGCGUCCCCUCAGCGAGUAUAGUGUCCCCACGGGAUUCAUUAUAACAUGGAAUACAAAAGUAGUGACGAGUGUCACCAGCUCCUACGGUGUAAUACAUAGCAUUUCUCUUGAUGCGGGCACCACAAGGGGUACAAUAUAUAGGUGGUGGCUCAAAGGUAAGCUUCUCCACUGCACAUAGUUGACAUGAGUUCUCACUCAUUGAAUGCUCCAUAGCCUGAUUCUUUUCUGCUUUGGCUUUACUCUGCAAGCACAUAAAGAACAG
RNAcentral lists this long non-coding RNA (4553 nucleotides) under Brassica napus (rape). RNAcentral describes it as "long non-coding RNA (BNAP_LNC001503)". The record is from RNAcentral. Lineage: Eukaryota; Viridiplantae; Streptophyta; Magnoliopsida; Brassicales; Brassicaceae.